GGCGGCUGGAAGGGAGGCUAGCGCCGGCAAACCCUAGCUGGGUUCUCGCGUUCCGGGAACUUUUUCCCCCUCCUGUCCCGCCCCCUUCCCUGUCCCUGUCCCACCUUCCGGCCCCUGGGACCCCCGGCAACGGUUGUGGCUGCUGACCCGCUUCAGCCGGAGUGUUGCUGAGCGCGGAGCCCGAGGGCGCCCGUGAGAGCCCCUGUUGAGUUCCCUGCUGCGUAGGAUGCCAGAACUGGAGACUCUGGAGAUCAUGAAGUUGGUGAAUUGCCCCGAGACCUUCACCCCGGACAUGAGGUGCAUCAUGGGCGAGUCCCCUUCAGUGCGGGGCUACUUCGUCCUGGCAGGAAUGAUCUCUGCUGGCCUUUCGUCUGGUGGAGGAGCUGGAAGGUUCAAAAUGAUUCUUCGAUUGCAUAUGCUGAGAAGAUUGUGGAGCCCCUCUCCCAAUACAGCAGAAGUGGUGAUAACAGAUCAUUUCAGAGAGAAGAAAAAAGUACCAACCACCUAAAACAAGAGUCCAGCUACUCCUUGAACAAUCCCUCCAAUCUCCAGGGAGAGAAGAUGUGGAGAGAUGUCUGGAAAGAGAAGACGGAAAGCAGACCUUGGACUCAGGUAACAUAUGCUCUCCACACUGGGAACUCUCAAGGGACCCAAGUGGGUCAUCUCUGUG
This is an RNA transcript of Balaenoptera acutorostrata (minke whale), 670 nucleotides long. It is a transcript of the gene named pyruvate dehydrogenase phosphatase regulatory subunit, mitochondrial-like, with no coding region annotated. The record is from RefSeq and is a predicted model, not a curated record. The transcript has 4 exons. NCBI's taxonomy places the organism in Eukaryota, Metazoa, Chordata, Mammalia, Artiodactyla, Balaenopteridae.